GACGAACGCUGGCGGCGUGCUUAACACAUGCAAGUCGUACGGUAAGGCCCUUUCGGGGGUACACGAGUGGCGAACGGGUGAGUAACACGUGAGUAACCUGCCCCCAACUUUGGGAUAACGCUAGGAAACUGGUGCUAAUACUGGAUAUGUGCUCCUGCUGCAUGGUGGGGGUUGGAAAGCUCCGGCGGUUGUGGAUGGACUCGCGGCCUAUCCGCUUGUUGGUGGGGUAGUGGCCUACCAAGGCGGCGACGGGUAGCCGGCCUGAGAGGGUGACCGGCCACAUUGGGACUGAGAGACGGCGCAGACUCCUACGGGAGGCAGCAGUGGGGAGUAUUGCACAAUGGGCGCGAGCCUGAGGCAGCAACGCCGCGUGCGUGAUAACGGCCUUCGGGUUGUAAACCGCUGUCAGCAGGGACGAAGCUUUUUGUGACGGUACCUGCAGAAGAAGCACCGGCUAACUACGUG
This 465-nucleotide ribosomal RNA is filed under the name uncultured bacterium. RNAcentral describes it as "partial 16S ribosomal RNA". It matches the Rfam family "Bacterial small subunit ribosomal RNA", at positions 28 to 507 of the family's 1533-position model. The record is from RNAcentral.